RNAcentral lists this long non-coding RNA (2303 nucleotides) under Coffea arabica (coffee). Its description in RNAcentral is "long non-coding RNA (CARA_LNC006837)". The record is from RNAcentral. Lineage: Eukaryota; Viridiplantae; Streptophyta; Magnoliopsida; Gentianales; Rubiaceae.
CUUCUCCGGGUGCUCCGUUCAAAUGGAUCGGGUAAUUGGGUCGCCCAUGGGUUUUCUGCCUUGGAAUUAAUUGCCGUACCAGCUUCUUUCCAUUUCCGGCUCUCACAACUGCAUUGAAAGGAGCUGACAGGCGACUUUGCUCAAGAAUGGCAAUUGGCGUGCUUCAUCAUGGCUGUGUCUUCCGAUGUUGUCCGAAUUCCAACACGGUCUGGUUGUGGCCUUUUUGUCCUAGGGUUUUCUCAUCUGAUUUCUCAUUUCCAUUCUCGCAGAUUUGUUGUGCCCUUCAACCCGUUCCCCUUGCCGACUUCUCUGGCCAGCUUGAGCUUGGUUACAUCUUCUUCGUUUGUUUUAGUCUCGGCCUCGCGGUGCUUCUCUUACUGGUUCAUCUGAAUCGUAAUCGUAGUUCCUCUUCGUUUUUUUCCCGUAUGGUUUUUUUCCCAUCUUUUUUCGUUGCAAUUUGUUGUUGGCCAUGGUGUUUGUUUUAAUCCUUGUCCUGCUUUUGCUGCUAUUUCACUGUUAUAUCUCGCUCUUAUUCUUGCUGCUCAUUGUUCUUUGCUUAUAUAUGUCAGGAAAUUUUUUCCUCCCUGAAUGUUGUGCCUCUGAGCUUAUUUCCCCUUGGUAUCUUUUUCCCCUGUGGCUUUCGAUGCUGUUUACCAUGGGUUUUUUUUUCGUUUUCCCAUUAGCCUUUUUGUUCUGUUCAUUCCUUUACGUAAUAUGUAUGUGUUCUUUUGAAGUAAUGUUGUUGUUCAGAAAUUUUGAACGUGCAAGUGGUUUCCGUUUGAUUUAUUUUGUUAUUCUCGUUUGCCCUUUUUUCCUUGUGCGCUCCUUUUCGUUAUAUGCAUGUUUUCUGGUUCUUACAUUUUUUUCCCCCUUUUAUUGCCGCUGUUGGUUACUAAUAAAUUUCUUGCCUGGUGGAGAUAGGCUGAUAUGCGUAUUUGCCCACGAUGAUUUUUUUAUAAAUGGGUCAAUGUUUUCUGCCUUGACUGCUAUUUAUUUUUCUUGGUGCAUUUCCUUGUUGUUUCCCUCCAAGGCAUUUGCUGUGUUUUAGAUCUGCUCUUCUGCUUUGAGUUGAGAUAGUUUUGGGUCCUUUCUGGCCCUCUCUAGAUCUACUGUUUUGCUCUCCGGAAGGGUGCAAUCUUGCUCUUUUCCUCUGUAGGCUAGAGUUGUUAUGUUUCUUUAAAUGACUUUUUCUUGUGCUUCUACCGUGCUUGCGAACCUUAUUCUUGCCUUAUGCCUCAGUGGUUUUGAUAACUGAUCUAGAAAGAUCUGCUACUCUUUACCUGUUAUUGGACUAAUUUCAAAUAGACAUGAUGAGAAUUGUUUUGUAUGCUUUGCCGGCAAGGAAACCGUACUCAGAUGCUCGCUCUGUUAUUGCCAGAGAAUAUGUUGUUGUCGACCAAAGGUUGUAUUCAAUAUCAAUUUCUGAUGGCUAUUUCUUUCGUACCUAUAGUGAUUUGUUUUUAUAUAUGUUCUUUUGCAGUAAUAUGCCUGUUCAUUUGACAUUGUUUGGUGAGUUUGAGUCUGAAGAGGGAAGAGCUAUAGUAGGCUACACAGCUUGAAUAGUGGUUGUCAUUUCCUCCUGGUUGUAAUUUGAAAAAAGAUUUCUCUUUUUCCUUUUUAGCUAACGUCCACCGUGGCUUUUAAAAUCAAUUAUUAUUACUAAUUUCUCAUCUGUCUCCAUGCAGGUACCGACAUAAUUGUUCUGAUCCAAUUGCUUUUGUUCUGGAGAAGAGAUACUGCAAUCCCCUUCUGUUUCUUCCUCCUGUUGGUGACACCAUGCUGUCUACUGUUGUCGGUGUUCACACAACAACUCAAUUUAUUAGGCGCCUUGUCCUUUCUAUGUUGCUUUCUGUGAUUUCCCUUAUUUGCCUAAACUAGCUUCUUUUUGAAACUUCUGAAUAUGCUUAUACUGUUCUUUGAGGCUAUAGGUGCUGCAUGGAUUAAGGGAAGAGUAACGGUUGAUCGAUUGCACAAACUUUGGCAUUUGGCCUGUCUAUAUUGCUGUGCACCUAACACUUUCAUUGAAACUCUAGGAAUUUCUUGUGUUGACUGUCAUAAGGAUCUUUAUGUCUUUCCUAGGUGUGUUAGUGGUACUUAUUGGUGAAAUUUUGCUGCUGUUCGCUUAUAGUCAAUGAAUGUUUUUCCAACUAAGGCUUCUUCUUUGACAGUAAUUAAUAUAUCUACUCUCAAAGCGCGUGUUAAGUUGGCUAUUACUGAUGCUACUGAUUCGAUCAAUAUCAUUGUUUUGGGUAACGAAGCUGAUAGGAUUCACUGCUUACCAGCUUAGUCAAGCUGAACAUGAG